GAUGAACGCUGGCGGCGUGCCUAAUACAUGCAAGUCGAGCGAACGGACGAGAAGCUUGCUUCUCUGAUGUUAGCGGCGGACGGGUGAGUAACACGUGGAUAACCUACCUAUAAGACUGGGAUAACUUCGGGAAACCGGAGCUAAUACCGGAUAAUAUUUUGAACCGCAUGGUUCAAAAGUGAAAGACGGUCUUGCUGUCACUUAUAGAUGGAUCCGCGCUGCAUUAGCUAGUUGGUAAGGUAACGGCUUACCAAGGCAACGAUGCAUAGCCGACCUGAGAGGGUGAUCGGCCACACUGGAACUGAGACACGGUCCAGACUCCUACGGGAGGCAGCAGUAGGGAAUCUUCCGCAAUGGACGAAAGCCUGACGGAGCAACGCCGCGUGAGUGAUGAAGGUCUUCGGAUCGUAAAACUCUGUUAUUAGGGAAGAACAUAUGUGUAAGUAACUGUGCACAUCUUGACGGUACCUAAUCAGAAAGCCACGGCUAACUACGUG
RNAcentral lists this ribosomal RNA (497 nucleotides) under uncultured bacterium. RNAcentral describes it as "partial 16S ribosomal RNA". It matches the Rfam family "Bacterial small subunit ribosomal RNA", at positions 28 to 507 of the family's 1533-position model. The record is from RNAcentral.